AGCCGGAGUUGUUGUGCACUGGUGUAAACGUGAGCACGUUGGUAACAAAAAACCCUAUAGGGAGGUCAUACUCAUGGACGAAAGGUUCAACCUCAUAGUUGUUGGAAUUUGGUGUGAGAUUUUAGAGCAAUAUACGAUAAGCUUGCAAUCUGCGGGAAAUAAUAAACAUGUUAUCAUUGGCACCAUGCUAAAAUUGAACAAGAUACACAGGUGUCUGGAGACUUCAGUUCACACGAGUUUUGCAUUCAAUCCAACUAAUCCGCGAACCCGUAAACUGCAUGGUGAGUAGUUCCAGAACCA
This is a long non-coding RNA of Phragmites australis (common reed), 300 nucleotides long. RefSeq lists it as uncharacterized. NCBI's taxonomy places the organism in Eukaryota, Viridiplantae, Streptophyta, Magnoliopsida, Poales, Poaceae. The record is from RefSeq and is a predicted model, not a curated record. The transcript has 3 exons.